GCCAAAGCCCUUCCCACCUACCCCCCCACCAGCCCCUCUGGCCCUUGGGUGACAUAUCCCUCAUAUCACCCCUUGACUGCCUUGUUUCCCCCACAACUCUACCCACAGCUGUCCAUGGUGUUGACGCUCACACUGAUCAAGGCUGCCUUUGAAGUUUCAUUUUUAGUAGGUUUCUUAUGUCUGCUGCAUCACUGGGGAGUGAGUGCAGACAUCUUACCUUAAGAAUGAAGACCUGCAAAAAAGUUGCUAUGAAGUGGGCUGGCUGCGGUGAAAGGAAAAAUGGGAUAAUUUUCAAAGAGAAUGAGAGCUACUGAGUCAUCAUAUUGGGAUUGUUUUUUUACAUCAUUUCAUUGAUAUUUGCUUCACAUUAAAUAUAAGAAAGCUUGGUUAAACAA
This is a long non-coding RNA of Felis catus (domestic cat), 395 nucleotides long. RefSeq lists it as uncharacterized. The record is from RefSeq and is a predicted model, not a curated record. NCBI's taxonomy places the organism in Eukaryota, Metazoa, Chordata, Mammalia, Carnivora, Felidae. The transcript is spliced from 2 exons.